Molecule: ribosomal RNA, 171 nt
Filed under: Vibrio sp. UCD-FRSSP16_10
Lineage: Bacteria; Pseudomonadati; Pseudomonadota; Gammaproteobacteria; Vibrionales; Vibrionaceae
Description: partial 16S ribosomal RNA
Rfam family: Bacterial small subunit ribosomal RNA
Source: RNAcentral
CGGUGAAUACGUUCCCGGGCCUUGUACACACCGCCCGUCAAGCCAUGGAAGCUGGGGGUGCCUGAAGUUCGUUACCGAGAGGAGCGACCUAGGGUAAAACUGGUAACUAGGGCUAAGUCGUAACAAGGUAGCCGUACCGGAAGGUGCGGCUGGAACACCUCCUUUCUAGAG